Molecule: long non-coding RNA, 1347 nt
Filed under: Canis lupus familiaris (dog)
Lineage: Eukaryota; Metazoa; Chordata; Mammalia; Carnivora; Canidae
Description: lncRNA (ENSCAFG00845012297.1)
Source: RNAcentral
GCUGCGCGCGCUGCGCGUCUUCUCCUACGACCACAACCCGGUCACCGGGCCCCCGCGCGUCGCCGACACCGUCUUCCUCGUGGGCGAGGGCGCCGUCGAGCGAAUGGCCGAGCGCGACGAGCCCACGCCCCGGCCGCCGCCCCGGCGCGCGGCUCGGGCCUUGGAGGACGAGGACGAGGAGGACCUGCUGGGGGGCAGCAGUGGCUCCCGGGCUCUGGGGCCUCCCGCGGGCAGCCGGCCUGCCCUGGAAGCCGCCCCAGGACCGGGCACCUGAGCCCCGAGCUGCGGGCGGUGGACGGGCCGUUGUGGGACCAGGGCUCCGGGAAGGCCCGUGGGCAGCAGACGGACAGGCAGGCCCGGGGAGAACCUUCACGCAUUCCUGCCCCCCCCCCCCCCCCCCCCCCCCCCCCCCAGAGACCCAGAGGUCCCGGCUUAGUCCAUGCCCUGGGGCUCUGCAGGCUGCUAGAGCCCCUGACGGCACCGUCGAGAUGCUGGCUUCCUUCUGGAACCAGGGCACUGUCCGCAGAAUCCUCACCCCUGGCUGAGCCCGGAUGUCCGGGGCCCCACACCAACCCUCUUCCUCCUGGAGUUUGGAUCUCCCAGACCCGUCCUUUCUGGUACAGGAGCCGCUACCUCUGGGGUGGACCACAUGCCUGUGGGAGACAGACUUGACCAUGGAAGAGGGCCUGGGCCACGCCCCAGUGCCCGGGAAGGAAGUGGGAAACUGGGAUUGGGGCCGCAACGCCGAAGCUGCCCUUGCUCCUCCACCGGGCUCAUUGCACAUACCUCCCUCUCCAGGCAUCCUAAAAUGUGCUUGGGGGAGGGGGCGCUUGGAAGGCAGGGUCUCCACCGCCCCCCGCCUUUGUUCUGUUCUGUGCUCUCGGCUCAUGCCUGGAAUCUUGCUGGAACAAGAGCACGCGCUCUCCCUUUCCCACAGCCUGAGCCUUCCAGCUAUCAAGUUUGAAAAGAAGCCACUGUGCCUCUAGGGCCUCCUGCUUGGAAGAGAGAGGUUCUCUGCUCUGGGAAUCUGCUCCAGAGCCUCCCCCACUGCCUGCACUCUCCAUUCCCUUAAAUGGACACAGUCAGGGUGGCUGGCACCGCGUGGGGGCAUGGGACAAGCCCUGUGUGCCUCCACUCCGUCACCAGGGACAGCCUCAGGGGUGAGGAGUAGGGUGUCGCUCUGCAAUUCCCAGGGCCGAAUCUUUCCCAUCCAAGCAAUAACGGGAAGAGGGGGCCAGGGCCAGGGACACUCAGGGACAUCAUCAGGGGCUGGGGCCCCACAUGGUAGUGUUAUCUUUAGGAAGGAAAAAAAACAACUGGCUGUAAACAUAAAUUAUAUUUCUUGGA